UACGUAGGGUGCAGGCGUUAAUCGGAAUUACUGGGCGUAAAGCGUGCGCAGGCGGUUUGCUAAGACAGGUGUGAAAAUCCCCGAGCUUAACUUGGGAACUGCGCUUGUAACUGGCAAGCUAGAGUGUGGCAGAGGGGGGUGGAAUUCCUGGUGUAGCGGUGAAAUGCGUAGAUAUCAGGAGGAACACCGGUGGUGCAGACGGCUCUCUGGACCGUAACUGACGCUAGACACGAAAAAGCGUGGGGUAGCAA
Molecule: ribosomal RNA, 251 nt
Filed under: uncultured bacterium
Lineage: Bacteria
Description: partial 16S ribosomal RNA
Rfam family: Bacterial small subunit ribosomal RNA
Source: RNAcentral